This 301-nucleotide ribosomal RNA is filed under the name uncultured bacterium. RNAcentral's name for it is "partial 16S ribosomal RNA". It matches the Rfam family "Bacterial small subunit ribosomal RNA", at positions 509 to 809 of the family's 1533-position model. The record is from RNAcentral.
CAGCAGCCGCGGGAAUACGUAGGGCGCAAGCGUUAUCCGGAAUUAUUGGGCGUAAAGAGCUCGUAGGCGGUUUGUCGCGUCUGCCGUGAAAGUCCGGGGCUCAACCCCGGAUCUGCGGUGGGUACGGGCAGACUAGAGUGAUGUAGGGGAGACUGGAAUUCCUGGUGUAGCGGUGAAAUGCGCAGAUAUCAGGAGGAACACCGAUGGCGAAGGCAGGUCUCUGGGCAUUAACUGACGCUGAGGAGCGAAAGCAUGGGGAGCGAACAGGAUUAGAUACCCCGGUAGUCCCUGUCUCUUAUAA